AGCAAUACAAGGCAUACGGCUCAGUAACGCGUAGUCAACCUAACCUAUGGACGGGAAUAACCUCGGGAAACUGAGAAUAAUGCCCGAUAGAACACUAUACCUGGAAUGGUUUGUGUUCCAAAUGAUUUAUCGCCAUAGGAUGGGACUGCGGCCUAUCAGUUUGUUGGUGAGGUAAUGGCCCACCAAGACUAUUACAGGUACGGGCUCUGAGAGGAGUAGCCCGGAGAUGGGUACUGAGACACGGACCCAGGGCCUAUGGGGCGCAGCAGGCGAGAAAAGAGUUGCAAUGUGCGAAAGCACGACAAGGUUAAUCCGAGUGAUUUGUGCUAAACGAAUCUUUUGUUAGUCCUAGAAACACUAACGAAUAAGGGGUGGGCAAGUUCUGGUGUCAGCCGCCGCGGUAAAACCAGCACCUCAAGUGGUCAGGAUGAUUAUUGGGCCUAAAGCAUCCGUAGCCGGCUCUGUAAGUUUUCGGUUAAAUCUGUACGCUUAACGUACAGGCUGCCGGGAAUACUGCAAAGCUAGGGGAGUGGGAGAGGUAGACGCGUACUCGGGUAGGAAGUGGUAAAAUGCUUUGAUCUAUCGAUGACCACCUGUGGCGAAGGCGGUCUACCAGAACACGUCCCGACGGUGAGGGAUGAAAGCUGGGGGAGCAAACCGGAUUAGAUACCCGGGUAGUCCCAGCUGUAAACUAUGCAAACUCAGUGAUGCAUUGGGCUUGUGGCCAAUGCAGUGCUGCAGGGAAGCCGUUAAGUUUGCCGCCUGGGAAGUACGUACGCAAGUAUGAAACUUAAAGGAAUUGGCGGGGGAGCACCACAAGGGGUGAAGCCUGCGGUUCAAUUGGAGUCAACGCCAGAAAUCUUACCCGGAGAGACAGCAGAAUGAAGGUCAAGCUGAAGACUUUACCAGACAAGCUGAGAGGUGGUGCAUGGCCGUCGCCAGCUCGUCCCCUGAGAUGUCCUGUUAAGUCAGGUACCCAGCGAGAUCCCUGCCUCUAGUUGCCACCAUUACUCUCAGGAGUAGUGGGGCGAAUUAGCGGGACCGCCGCAGUUAAUGCGGAGGAAGGAAGGGGCCACGGCAGGUCAGUAUGCCCCGAAACUCUGGGGCCACACGCGGGCUGCAAUGGUAGCGACAAUUGGUUUCGAAUCCGAAAGGAUGAGGUAAUCCACAAACGCUACCACAGUUAUGACUGAGGGCUGCAACUCGCCCUCACGAAUAUGGAAUCCC
This 1227-nucleotide ribosomal RNA is filed under the name uncultured marine archaeon. Its description in RNAcentral is "bacterial SSU rRNA". It matches the Rfam family "Archaeal small subunit ribosomal RNA", at positions 70 to 1291 of the family's 1478-position model. The record is from RNAcentral.